UUUCAAAACUGAAGGACUUGAGUGAAGUAGAGGUAGGCGGAAUUUCCGGUGUAGCGGUGGAAUGCGUAGAUAUCGGAAGGAACACCAGUGGCGAAGGCGGCCUACUGGGCUUUUACUGACGCUGAGGCUCGAAAGCAUGGGUAGCAAACAGGAUUAGAUACCCUGGUAGUCCAUGCUGUAAACGAUGAUUACUAGGUGUGGGUUGGAAACAAUCCGUGCCGCAGUUAACACAAUAAGUAAUCCACCUGGGGAGUACGGCCGCAAGGCUGAAACUCAAAGGAAUUGACGGGGGCCCGCACAAGCAGUGGAGUAUGUGGUUUAAUUCGAAGCAACGCGAAGAACCUUACCAGGUCUUGACAUCGUAUGCAUAACUUAGAGAUAAGUGAAGUCCUUCGGGACAUACGGACAGGUGGUGCAUGGUUGUCGUCAGCUCGUGUCGUGAGAUGUUGGGUUAAGUCCCGCAACGAGCGCAACCCUUAUGCUUAGUUACUACGCAAGAGGACUCUAGGCAGACUGCCGUUGACAAAACGGAGGAAGGUGGGGAUGACGUCAAAUCAUCAUGCCCCUUAUGACCUGGGCUACACACGUACUACAAUGGCUGUUAACAAAGUGAACCGAAACCGCGAGGUGGAGGAAAACACAAAAAGCAGUCUCAGUUCGGAUUGUAGGCUGCAACUCGCCUACAUGAAGCCGGAAUUGCUAGUAAUCGCGGAUCAGCAUGCCGCGGUGAAUACGUUCCCGAGCCUUGUACACAC
RNAcentral lists this ribosomal RNA (755 nucleotides) under uncultured bacterium. RNAcentral describes it as "bacterial SSU rRNA". It matches the Rfam family "Bacterial small subunit ribosomal RNA", at positions 625 to 1390 of the family's 1533-position model. The record is from RNAcentral.